CACUCACUCACCAAAACACACUCAAGACAUUCUCUCUUCUCACAAACGGUAGAUCAAAGAAGGAAACCCUAAACCCAAAUGAAUGAAACGAAACAUCACCAUAUCUCUCUCUAUUUUUGCAUCUGGUCGCAGAAACACACUUGCAGAAUUGUGGUUCUCUCAACUUCUCGUUUUUGCCGCUUCACCACCGCACAAGAUAGCGGUUGUUCUCCACUUCUCUGAGAUUGUUCAGAUUCACACUUUACCUCUCCUAAGCGUAGCGAUGAAGUGAAUUUCUGAUACCACAAAAGGAAAGAUUUAUUAUGUUAAUGAAAGGAAAUGCCAAAAACUGCGAUGAACCGACCACCAAGUAAUUUUUCUGAGUGUGCCAUUUGCUUCAUUUUUUCAUGAGGAAAGAGUCAUUUUUAGAAUAUUCCAUUUGCUUCACUGGAACAAAUCUAAUUGUGGUAAGUUAUGUCUUCUGAAUCUAUAUUUGGUUAAGAUUGUCAAUGGAGUCAAUAAUUGAUCAUGACUGCUUUGUAACAUAGUACUCUAAAUUUUAUGAUUAUGCCUUUAUAUGUUCUUUCAAGCUUUCUGAGAUGUCUAGCUAAUAAUAAUCUUUUGCCUCUAAAUUAAUUUUGUAUGUUCUAUAGCUCAUGCUUUUUGAAAAUUAUUUCCUUCUUUUCAAAGUUAUGUAAUCAAUGAAAAAGUAAUGAUAAUGUGUAGUUGGUUUAAAUAAUAUAACAUAGCUAUCAAUGUGUGUUUACAAUAUAAUUUUUUCAUGUCAGUAAAAAAAAUAGUCGUUGGAAAGCAUAUAUAGGGACUAAUUUUAUUUAAUGUCGGUUCAUUUUCAUUCUUGCUGAUUUAUAAGUUUGACCUUUCUUGAUGCAUUUUAUCUGGUAUUCUAGGAUUACAAUGGCAUUACUAACUAAGCAGGUUGGAAUGAAGUCAUCAAUGCAUGCAGACAAGAAGUAUGCUCUGUUCCUUGAUCAAUUGGAGAACUCACUCGUGAGAUAGAAAGGGAUCCUGAGAUUAUGCAAAUAUCAAUCUGAAUGAAACUAUUGGUUUAUUAAGGUUUUACAUAGGAGCAAUAUGGUGAAAAGGGAUUAGGAUCAAAGAAGGCAUGUCACAGGUUCUUCUUCAUAUGAUUAUGCAGCCAAGAUAGUAGGGGUAUUGAAUGGAAAUUUUUACUAUUUUACACUAAGAUUGUCCAAUUUUAGUUGUAUACUUGUAUUUAUGGUUGAGUAAAUAUUGUCUUAACUUAUAUCUGAGAAGUCAUGGGAGCAGUAACCAUGACUUUAGGUUUUUUUUAUAGUAGUAGUACAUGUUGCUACUUUUUAGUACCUAUAGAAAGGAUGUACUCAUCUAUUCAUUUAUGUAAAACUGCAAUCAUUUGAAUAAAGGAGUUCAUGUAUUUGCCUCA
Long non-coding RNA from Trifolium pratense (red clover), 1402 nucleotides. RefSeq lists it as uncharacterized. The transcript has 4 exons. The record is from RefSeq and is a predicted model, not a curated record. Lineage: Eukaryota; Viridiplantae; Streptophyta; Magnoliopsida; Fabales; Fabaceae.